Molecule: long non-coding RNA, 330 nt
Filed under: Gossypium barbadense (sea-island cotton)
Lineage: Eukaryota; Viridiplantae; Streptophyta; Magnoliopsida; Malvales; Malvaceae
Description: long non-coding RNA (GBAR_LNC017659)
Source: RNAcentral
GGAAACAAAUUGAAGGGAAGCGGUCUCCAAUCAUGCACAGCAGCCAUGGCAACGAUGAUGGCCGUAGUUCUUUUACUAGGCUACGAGGCUUCAGCGUUUUCAGCUACAACCAGCAACAACACCAAUAGCUCGGCAGCCCAUUGCAGUGGCUCCACCAUGGAGGAAUGUCUGGUCGUCGACCAAACAAAUCUUGGUUUUUUUUCUGAUCCAGAAACAAGCUUGACAGUCCAUUAUCUUAGGGUGACCGAUGGUUCCAUGAACAGGUUCAAUACUCUAGAUGUUCGAUGUCGGAGAGCAAGACCUCAUCAGCCUUAUUACCUUUGCAUCCCA